This 743-nucleotide ribosomal RNA is filed under the name uncultured archaeon. RNAcentral's name for it is "bacterial SSU rRNA". It matches the Rfam family "Archaeal small subunit ribosomal RNA", at positions 56 to 774 of the family's 1478-position model. The record is from RNAcentral.
AGUCGAGCGCCUCCAAGCUAUGGUGAAGGCGCGGCAAACGGCUCAGUAACACGUGGCCAACCUACCCUUGGGACGGAGACAACCCCGGGAAACUGGGGCUAAUCCCCGAUAGGUGAGGAAUCCUGGAAUGGACCCUCGCCCAAAAGACGUUGAGUCCAUGCUAUUCAGCGUCGCCCAAGGAUGGAGCCGCGACCGAUCAGGUAGUUGGUGAGGCAACGGCUCACCAAGCCUAUAACCGGUACGGGCCGUGAGAGCGGGAGCCCGGAGAUGGGCACUGAGACAAGGGCCCAGGCCCUACGGGGCGCAGCAGUUGCGAAAACUCCGCAAUGCGCGAAAGCGUGACGGGGCUACCCCGAGUGCCGCCCGUUGAGGGCGGCUUUUCCACGGUGUAAGGAGCCGUGGGAAUAAGGAGAGGGCAAGACUGGUGUCAGCCGCCGCGGUAAUACCAGCUCUCCGAGUGGUGGGGACGAUUAUUGGGCUUAAAGCGUUCGUAGCCGGCUUAACAAGUCUUCCGUUAAAUCCAACGAUCUAAUCGUUGGGCUGCGGGAGAUACUGUUGGGCUAGGAGGCAGGAGAAGCCGACGGUAUUCUCGGGGUAGGGGUGAAAUCCUGUAAUCCCGGGAGGACCACCAGUGGCAAAGGCGGUCGGCUAGAACGCGCUCGACGGUGAGGGACGAAAGCUGGGGGAGCGAACCGGAUUAGAAACCCGGGUAGUCCCAGCUGUAAACGAUGCGGGCUAGGUGU